UACGUAGGGGGCUAGCGUUGUCCGGAUUUAUUGGGCGUAAAGAGCGUGUAGGCGGCCAUGUAGGUCCGGUGUGAAAACUCGAGGCUUAACCUCGAGAUGUCAUCGGAAACCAUUUGGCUAGAGUCCGGAAGAGGAGAGUGGAAUUCCUGGUGUAGCGGUGGAAUGCGUAGAGAUCCGGAGGAACACCAGCGGCGAAGGCGGCAUCCUGGACUGGUCCUGACACUCAGGAGCGAAAGCGUGGGGAGCGAUCCGG
RNAcentral lists this ribosomal RNA (253 nucleotides) under uncultured bacterium. Its description in RNAcentral is "partial 16S ribosomal RNA". It matches the Rfam family "Bacterial small subunit ribosomal RNA", at positions 524 to 776 of the family's 1533-position model. The record is from RNAcentral.